RNAcentral lists this ribosomal RNA (440 nucleotides) under uncultured bacterium. Its description in RNAcentral is "partial 16S ribosomal RNA". It matches the Rfam family "Bacterial small subunit ribosomal RNA", at positions 338 to 795 of the family's 1533-position model. The record is from RNAcentral.
CCUACGGGAGGCAGCAGUAGGGAAUUUUGCGCAAUGGGCGAAAGCCUGACGCAGCAACGCCGCGUGAUCGAGACGCCCUUCGGGGUGUAAAAGUCUGUCAGUGGGGGCGAAACUUGACGGUACCCACAGAGGAAGCACCGGCUAACUCCGUGCCAGCAGCCGCGGGCAUACGGAGGGUGCAAGCGUUGUCCGGAACCAUUGGGCGUAAAGAGUUCGUAGGCGGCACUUAAAGUCUGGUGUUAAAGGCAGAGGCUCAACUUCGGUACGGCACUGGAUACUUGCGAGCUAGAAUGCGGUAGAGGCAGAGGGAAUUCCUGGUGUAGCGGUGAAAUGCUUAGAUAUCAGGAGGAACAUCGGUGGCGGAAGCGCUUUACUGGGCCGCAAUUGACGCUGAGGAACGAAAGCCAGGGUAGCAAAUGGGAUUAGAUACCCGAGUAGUC